GCCUAAUACAUGCAAGUAGAACGCUGAAGAGAGGAGCUUGCUCUUCUUGGAUGAGUUGCGAACGGGUGAGUAACGCGUAGGUAACCUGCCUUGUAGCGGGGGAUAACUAUUGGAAACGAUAGCUAAUACCGCAUAACAAUGGAUGACACAUGUCAUUUAUUUGAAAGGGGCAAAUGCUCCACUACAAGAUGGACCUGCGUUGUAUUAGCUAGUAGGUGAGGUAACGGCUCACCUAGGCGACGAUACAUAGCCGACCUGAGAGGGUGAUCGGCCACACUGGGACUGAGACACGGCCCAGACUCCUACGGGAGGCAGCAGUAGGGAAUCUUCGGCAAUGGGGGCAACCCUGACCGAGCAACGCCGCGUGAGUGAAGAAGGUUUUCGGAUCGUAAAGCUCUGUUGUAAGUCAAGAACGAGUGUGAGAGUGGAAAGUUCACACUGUGACGGUAGCUUACCAGAAAGGGACGGCUAACUACGUGCCAGCAGCCGCGGUAAUACGUAGGUCCCGAGCGUUGUCCGGAUUUAUCGGGCGUAAAGCGAGCGCAGGCGGUUUGAUAAGUCUGAAGUUAAAGGCUGUGGCUCAACCAUAGUUCGCUUUGGAAACUGUCAAACUUGAGUGCAGAAGGGGAGAGUGGAAUUCCAUGUGUAGCGGUGAAAUGCGUAGAUAUAUGGAGGAACACCGGUGGCGAAAGCGGCUCUCUGGUCUGUAACUGACGCUGAGGCUCGAAAGCGUGGGGAGCGAACAGGAUUAGAUACCCUGGUAGCCCACGCCGUAAACGAUGAGUGCUAGGUGUUGGAUCCUUUCCGGGAUUCAGUGCCGCAGCUAACGCAUUAAGCACUCCGCCUGGGGAGUACGACCGCAAGGUUGAAACUCAAAGGAAUUGACGGGGGCCCGCACAAGCGGUGGAGCAUGUGGUUUAAUUCGAAGCAACGCGAAGAACCUUACCAGGUCUUGACAUCCCGAUGCUAUUUCUAGAGAUAGAAAGUUACUUCGGUACAUCGGUGACAGGUGGUGCAUGGUUGUCGUCAGCUCGUGUCGUGAGAUGUUGGGUUAAGUCCCGCAACGAGCGCAACCCCUAUUGUUAGUUGCCAUCAUUCAGUUGGGCACUCUAGCGAGACUGCCGGUAAUAAACCGGAGGAAGGUGGGGAUGACGUCAAAUCAUCAUGCCCCUUAUGGCCUGGGCUACACACGUGCUACAAUGGUUGGUACAACGAGUUGCGAGUCGGUGACGGCAAGCUAAUCUCUUAAAGCCAAUCUCAGUUCGGAUUGUAGGCUGCAACUCGCCUACAUGAAGUCGGAAUCGCUAGUAAUCGCGGAUCAGCACGCCGCGGUGAAUACGUUCCCGGGCCUUGUACACACCGCCCGUCACACCACGAGAGUUUGUAACACCCGAAGUCGGUGAGGUAACCUUUUGGAGCCAGCCGCCUAAGGUGGGAUAGAUGAUUGGGGUGAAGUC
RNAcentral lists this ribosomal RNA (1457 nucleotides) under uncultured organism. Its description in RNAcentral is "16S ribosomal RNA". It matches the Rfam family "Bacterial small subunit ribosomal RNA". The record is from RNAcentral.